Molecule: ribosomal RNA, 476 nt
Filed under: uncultured bacterium
Lineage: Bacteria
Description: partial 16S ribosomal RNA
Rfam family: Bacterial small subunit ribosomal RNA
Source: RNAcentral
GACGAACGCUGGCGGCGUGCCUAACACAUGCAAGUCGAGCGGAGAUUAUAGCAAUAUAAUCUUAGCGGCGGACGGGUGAGUAACGCGUGGGCAACCUGCCUCAUACUGGGGGAUAACACUGGGAAACUAGUGCUAAUACCGCAUAAUAUCACUAGAUGGCAUCAUUUGGUGAUCAAAGGAGCAAUCCGGUGUGAGAUGGGCCCGCGUCCGAUUAGCUAGUUGGUGAUGUAACGGACCACCAAGGCGACGAUCGGUAGCCGAACUGAGAGGUUGAUCGGCCACAUUGGGACUGAGACACGGCCCAGACUCCUACGGGAGGCAGCAGUGGGGAAUAUUGCGCAAUGGGGGAAACCCUGACGCAGCAACGCCGCGUGAAGGAUGAAGGUCUUCGGAUUGUAAACUGCUUUUAUCUGUGACGAAUAUGACGGUAGCAGAUGAAUAAGGAUCGGCUAACUCCGUGCCAGCAGCCGCAGUAA